RNAcentral lists this ribosomal RNA (469 nucleotides) under uncultured organism. Its description in RNAcentral is "partial 16S ribosomal RNA". It matches the Rfam family "Bacterial small subunit ribosomal RNA", at positions 335 to 796 of the family's 1533-position model. The record is from RNAcentral.
ACUCCUGCGGGAGGCAGCAGUGGGGAAUUUUGGACAAUGGGCGAAAGCCUGAUCCAGCAAUGCCGCGUGAGUGAAGAAGGCCUUCGGGUUGUAAAGCUCUUUUGUCAGGGAAGAAACGGUGAGAGCUAAUAUCUUUUGCUAAUGACGGUACCUGAAGAAUAAGCACCGGCUAACUACGUGCCAGCAGCCGCGGUAAUACGUAGGGUGCAAGCGUUAAUCGGAAUUACUGGGCGUAAAGCGUGCGCAGGCGGUUUUGUAAGUCUGAUGUGAAAUCCCCGGGCUCAACCUGGGAAUUGCAUUGGAGACUGCAAGGCUAGAAUCUGGCAGAGGGGGGUAGAAUUCCACGUGUAGCAGUGAAAUGCGUAGAUAUGUGGAGGAACACCGAUGGCGAAGGCAGCCCCCUGGGUCAAGAUUGACGCUCAUGCACGAAAGCGUGGGGAGCAAACAGGAUUAGAAACCCGAGUAGUCC